GUAGUCUCGCACAGAUGCAUAUCAAUAAGCGGAGGAAAAGAAACUAACAAGGAUUCCCCUAGUAACGGCGAGUGAAGCGGGAAGAGCUCAAAUUUGAAAUCUUAAAGGGUUUCCCUUUACGAAUUGUAGUUUAAAGAAGUGUUUUCUGUUGAGGUUUUGGUAAAAGUUCUUUGGAAUAGGACAUCAUAGAGGGUGAGAAUCCCGUAUUUGACCUUUAUUUUCAACUUUGUGAUACACUUUCAAAGAGUCGGAUUGUUUGGGAAUGCAGUCCAAAAUGGGUGGUAAAUUUCAUCUAAAGCUAAAUAUUGGCGAGAGACCGAUAGCGAACAAGUACCGUGAGGGAAAGAUGAAAAGAACUUUGAAAAGAGAGUUAAACAGUACGUGAAAUUGUCAAAAGGGAAGCGUUUGACACCAGUGUUGUUUUUCUGAAAAUCAAUUAAAGAACUGUUUAUGCUAAGCUGUUUAGACUUUAUCAGCUAAUCUGUUUAGUUUUGAGCUUUUCUUUAAUGCACUUUUCAGUUAACAAGUCAACAUCAAUUUCUUUUGCUGUAAAAAAGCUUGAGGAAGGUGGCUUGAGAUUCGUCUUAAGUGUUUAUAGCCUCUUGCCUAUGCAGUCGGAGAGAUUGAGGUCUGCAGCGUAGAUCCUUCGGGGCUAAAUGCAUUUGUGCUAAGUUAUAGCAUUUUAUAGACAACUUGUUGACUAUGAUUUGUCUUGUAGCUUACUCGCUUAUGUUAUUUUACCUACGCUUAGGAUGUUGAGUAGCGACAUACGCAC
Molecule: ribosomal RNA, 775 nt
Filed under: uncultured Neocallimastigales
Lineage: Eukaryota; Fungi; Neocallimastigomycota; Neocallimastigomycetes; Neocallimastigales
Description: partial large subunit ribosomal RNA
Rfam family: Eukaryotic large subunit ribosomal RNA
Source: RNAcentral